This 872-nucleotide ribosomal RNA is filed under the name uncultured eukaryote. Its description in RNAcentral is "SSU rRNA". It matches the Rfam family "Eukaryotic small subunit ribosomal RNA", at positions 574 to 1471 of the family's 1831-position model. The record is from RNAcentral.
CCGCGGUAAUUCCAGCUCCAAUAGCGUAUAUUAAAGUUGUUGCGGUAAAAAAGCUCGUAGUUGGAUUUCUGUUGAAGACGUCCGGUCCAUACCACGUAUGCGCAUCUGGCUCGGCUUCGGCAUCCUCUCGAAAGACGUUUCUGCGCUUGAUUGCGUGGAGCGGAUCUCGGGACUUUUACUUUGAGGAAAUUAGAGUGUUCACGGCAGGCUAUCGCCAGAAUACAUUAGCAUGGAAUAAUACUAUAGGAUCUCGGUUCUAUUUUGUUGGUUUCUAGAAUUGAGAUAAUGAUUAAUAGGGACAAUUGGGGGCAUUCGUAUCAACACGUUAGAGGUGAAAUUCUUGGAUCGUGUUGCGACGAACUACUGCGAAAGCAUUUGCCAAGGAUGUUUUCAUUGAUCAAGAACGAAAGUAAGGGGAUCGAAGACGAUUAGAUACCGUCGUAGUCUUUACCAUAAACUAUGCCAACUAGAGAUGGGACAUCGUUCACUUAAGACUUGUUCCGCACCUUAUGAGAUAUCAAAGUCUUUGGGUUCCGGGGGGAGUAUGGUCGCAAGUCUGAAACUUAAAGGAAUUGACGGAAGGGCACCACCAGGAGUGGAGCCUGCGGCUUAAUUUGACUCAACACGGGGAAACUCACCAGGUCCAGACAUAAUAAGGAUUGACAGAUUGAUAGCUCUUUCUUGAUUUUAUGGGUGGUGGUGCAUGGCCGUUCUUAGUUCGUGGAGUGAUUUGUCUGCUUAAUUGCGUUAACGAACGAGACCUUAACCUGCUAAAUAGGAGCGCCUAUCUCCGGAUAAGCGCCUUUCUUCUUAGAGGGACUUUAUGCGUUUCAGCAUGAGGAAGUUUGAGGCUAAAACAGGUCUGUGAUGCC